RNAcentral lists this long non-coding RNA (341 nucleotides) under Homo sapiens (human). Its description in RNAcentral is "HSALNT0299982". Lineage: Eukaryota; Metazoa; Chordata; Mammalia; Primates; Hominidae. The record is from RNAcentral.
AUUCUGAGGCUUCGUUGGGUGAGGAGCAGACACCAGUGUUUGUGCCUCUAAACUUCAGAGGACAGAUGUUAAUUUCUGCUGAGAAUUUCCUUAUGCAGUACUGGGUGCAGCUAUAAAUUUCUACAGCUCUGCCAAGGAUUUAUGUUAAUAGAAGCCAUCGCUUAACAUCUUGGGUCUCAACUUAGCUUUAAAAUAGGGAAGAUAAAAUCCACUUCAUAAAGUGGUAAAGUUUGAAUCAACUCACGUAAAGUACUUAGAACAGCAUCAGAAACACGAAAUGCAAGCUGUGCUGCCUGGAGUUGGAGGAGCGGUGAUGCACACACUCCCUCGGCCACCUCAGC